CCCUUAGAUGUUCUGGGCCGCACGCGCGCUACAAUGGUCUUCGCAAACGGAUGCAUUCUCGAAGGAGAAUGCCAAUCUUGGAAUCUAUGCCUUGGUCGGGACAGUUGCUUGCAAUUUUUCGACUCGAACCAGGAAUUCCUUGUAAUCGUGAUUCAUCACAUCACGAUGAAUACGUCCCUGCCCUUUGUACACACCGCCCGUCGCUCCUACCGAUCGAAGAGUUAGGUGAAUGGUUUUGAUCGAUAAGAUUUGACUAUGGUCAACUCUCGUUGUGAAAUUCUGUGAAUCUGACUGUUUAGAGGAAGGAAAAGUCGUAACA
This 319-nucleotide ribosomal RNA is filed under the name uncultured eukaryote. RNAcentral describes it as "partial 18S ribosomal RNA". It matches the Rfam family "Eukaryotic small subunit ribosomal RNA", at positions 1470 to 1796 of the family's 1831-position model. The record is from RNAcentral.